AAGUGCUCCCGGCUGGGCCGCAGCCAGAGGCACGGGAGAUGAGCAGGGUUUGCAAACCCGAGGUUCGCAAACACGGUUCCCAGCGGCGGCUGGCAGAGGGGGCCCUUGUCUGCUGCUCAAGGUUCUGGGUCACCUGCACCACCGCCUCCCACCUGAGCUCCUUGGGUCUUGCUCAUCGAUCCCCACACCGCCACCUGUCCCCAGCUUGCCCAGGAGAGGGUGAGGCCUGCAGCACACGGCUCCACACCUUGGGGAGGGACCUGCUCCAGGCCCCGGGCAGCACAGGAGUGCUCUGCUAUCCGCCCGAGAUGCCAAGGACAUGCCAGCACACGUGUGUGUGCUGUCCUUGCUUGAGUCCUGGUUGCUGGCUCGAGGCCCAUGGUCAUGUGUGUGGAGGGGCCGCCCCGCGUCUGGGCCACUCUCUGCCCGUGCCUUCACGGGGCUCCUGUACUUGCUGCAGGACGAGAAGAAUCAGAUGAUGACAACGAAUGUGUGGGUGAAGCAAG
This 506-nucleotide long non-coding RNA is filed under the name Equus caballus (horse). RNAcentral describes it as "lncRNA (ENSECAG00000058416.1)". Lineage: Eukaryota; Metazoa; Chordata; Mammalia; Perissodactyla; Equidae. The record is from RNAcentral.